GCGCCGGUAGAGGGCGGCAGAGAGCAGAGGAGACCUGGACCCCGCGCGGCUUGUGGGAGGGGGGCUCGGGAGAGAGGGUGAUGCUCCGUGGUUCCCCAGAAACGCUGGGAAAGGCUCCAAUCAAGUGUCCGAAGCAGAAUGUCUCUCCGCCAAGACUGCCAGGUUGAGCUUCGCCUGCAGCAGAAGGAAGUGCGGCAGACAUUAAGCAGCACCCGGCUCCUGGUCUGGUGCAUAGUAGGCCCUUGAUAAAUGCCCGCAGAACGACUCAGCCUGGAGGCGGGCCAGCACUGUGUGGGGGUGUAGUCCCAGCAUCCGCCUGAGCCCUCCACCCGCCUGAGCUCUCCAUCCGGGAGGCAGUUUUAAUUGGGCAGCACAUUCCUGAGGAGACACCCAUCACUUCUCGCCCGUGCCUGCCUUCCAGUUGGGAAAACUUGCUUGAGGUUAAAUGACACCUGGAUUGCCAACCUUGAGCACCCCCGCCCAGAAGUUCUGGACGACGCUGUGAGUGGGAUCUGUGUGAGGAGCUGGUGCCCUCGAGGCAGGGGGCGCGGGAGGCCCGGGAUCUGGGGCCUCCAGACUGGAAGUUCUCUUCUCCCUGAGGCUCAGCUUUAAAACCUGCGGAGGUUUGGGUUGUUCACCUCUGCAGAAAGGAUCUGAGGGAAGGAGCCUAUCCCAAGUUGGGUUAGCGCAGCAGCAAGCCCAGGACUGGCCUGGCCUGCCCGUGCCUGGUGGGACAGGAAGGAGCCAGCUGUCCAUCCUGGGAUCUGGAUGCACCUGGGCAAGGCUCACCUUGGGACAGUGGCGGCAUAGCACAGUGGCUGAGAACAUGAAUUCUGGCCUCCCUGGGCCCAGAGCCUGACUCCACCACUUACCAGCUGGAUGAUGGGGUAAGAAUUUUGUAACUUCUAUGUGCCUCAGUUUCCCCCUCUAUAAAUGGGGAGAACAAUAGUACCUUCUUUAUAGAGUUGAUAGGGCUUUACAUGAGUUCCUGCAUGUAAAGUGCUUAGGCAGGGACCUCGUACUGUCUAGGAAAUCCUCUAAGUGUAUGCUGUUGUCGUUGGCAUGUUUGUGUCUGUGCCUUACCUCCUCACUAGGCCUGCAGCUCCUUGAGGAGAGGGUCUGUCUCUUUAAGCCAAUUUGUGUCCCCGCAGGGUCCCAGCACAGGGCCUGGCCACAGUGGGUCCUCACUGACUGUUUGUGGAGUGAUGAUGGGGUCCGGGUGCCCUCUCCCCUGGCCUGCUGUCUCCCGCGGGCCCCUGCAGAGCAAUGCUGUCUCCGUGGCUGAGGCCCUUCCUCCCACAGCCCCGCCUGAGCUCCUUCAAUUUUCCCUGGCAGCUCCCACGUUCUGGACUAACUUUAGGGUUGGUUUCCAGCUGUGGUUGGAUUUUUCUGUUUGAAAAAUAUUUUAAGCAGCUGGUGGGGAAGGGGUGGAGAGGUGGGAAAAGAAUAAUAAAUAAGCUUGUGAAAGGAAGAUUGUCUAAAUGGCUUGGAGCCACCACUGCCUGCAACUUGGUCUCUGGGUCGUGCCCAGGACUGGGGAGCUAUCAGGUGGUUGGGGGUGGGGAGGGGGCACCCUGGUGGCUUCACAGGCUGAGGAGAAAGACUCACCGCCCCUCACAAGCACCUCUUGGACAUGCUUUCACUUUAUGCCCCGCAUGAAUUCUGAAAAUGCAAGAAAUAGACGGGAAAGAGUGGUUCUGCAGCAGCCAGGAUUGAGGUUAGACACUGAAAAAAACUGACUGUCAGAACUAUCCCUGAAGCCCCCCUUUAUUUCACCCAAGACUGAUGUUUCUCCAGAACUCAGCUUCCUUCUUGGCUCCUAUAAUGAGACCUCACAUAGCCUCCCACCCACCCCAGCUGCUCUUCAUUCCCUGACAACAUCCUCUGCUCCUGAACUUCCCUAAAGGGAGGGUCCCUCCUCCUGCGCCCCAGUUUUCAUCAGCUUCCUCUAAGACCCUUUUGGCUCUGCUCUACCACUGAGGCCCUCAGGCUCUUUUCUGAAAUCUUCACCUCCAUCGCCUCCCUGGGUCGAGGUGGAGAGACCUCCUGAGCGGGCAGAGGCUCAGGCCCCCCCAGAGGCAGAUGGAAGGUUCGUGCUACCCCUGUGCUGGCUGGGGAGGAUGGUAGAGACAGAGACCCACAGAAAAUCAGAGAUGGGAAAGAAACUAAAUCAUAGAGUCGAACAGAAGCCAAGUCAGAAAGCGAGUCAGAUGUGGGGAUAGGGAGUUGACAGUCACCAGGCAGUGCCCCUGGCCAGGCCUGCAUGGAAAUUCCUGUGGACUCUGAUGGCAGGAUGGGCUCAGCCCUGAGGGCUGCCUGGUGCCAUCGUGUGCUGGGGCCCAGGGGUCUCGGGCCUGGGCGGCAGGGAGGCCCUGCCCUCCUUACCCAGUUCUGCUGAGGACUCCCUCCACCUGAGUCAGAGGGGAAAGUGGGUGAUGCGCUUGUGCAGACGGGGCUCUGGAGCCUCGGGGAGCUAUUGGUGGCAGAGCAUCUCACUUAGAAGUAGGCGGCUGAGCUUCCAGGGGUAAGGCAGGAGGCCAGUGGAGCCGGGAAGUGCUGGGCCUGAGGACUGAGGAUGGGGCUGUGCUGUUGAGGAAUAAGGAGUGAUGGGUGAGGGUGGAAGGGAGCCCGUCUGGGGAUCAGGGAGCUUUGUGGGGGCGAGGACUGCCCCCACCAGGAAGUCUGGGUGGGGAGCUGUGCCUACAGUCCUCAGCAGCCUGCAGUGGGGAGGAACCCUGGGGAAGGGCAGGCUCCGUUUUGACUGGAUUGAGAGCUUUCUUCAAGGUCUCCCCAGUAGCGAUCCACACCCCUUCCUCCCCUCUGCCCUCCUAGGUUUCCCCCAGCAAGGAGGACAACAUGGGUCUAAAUCUAUCACUGACAUCUCUGCUUAUUAGCUGAUCCUUGCCACCUGGCUAACUCCGACCACAGCAAAACUGAGAGUUCCGAGGGCUUCUCAGAGGGUAUGAGAAUGGGGGUUGUACUUCCUAAUACUACUUUUGCUUAUGCUGAAUGUGAAACUUUCCAAAGCGUUUUUUUCUUACUAUGAAACAUACCAGACAUAUAUUAAAUAUAGAUGUCCAGUUUAGUAAAUAAUUAUAAAUCACACAUCUGUGUUUCCACAGCCCAGGUCAAGAAAUAGACUACUGUCAGCACCCCAGAAGUCCCGUGUCCUUCCCUGAUCACAGCCCCAUCCUUCCGCCCUGAAGGGAACCAGUGUCCUGACUUUUGUGAUCCUCAUUUCCUUGUUUGUCUUCCAAAGCAUUUAGUCUCUUAGAUGUUAUCAUCUUUGAGUUUCACAAUAACCUUCUUAUUCCCAUUUUACAGAUGAAGAAACUGAGGCUCAGAAAGGUUAAAUAAUUAGUCCAAGGCCACCCAGCAAGUAAGUGGUAAAACCAGGAUCAUAUUUGGAUUGGCUGAUGCCCAGGGCAGUUUCUUAGUCAAACCAGAAUCCACAGGAAACUCUGAGACAACCUUGGUGUUGGAGCCCGACACCCCUGUGCCCCUGAGAAGGGGAGGCCACCUUCACAGCCUGCCCAGGUGCUCCCCUCCCAGAUGUGUUGACUCACGUGACUCCGCAGGGUCCUGCUGUAUGAGUACCUGGCAGGAUGUGAUAGAGCCCAUUGGAAGUUGGGAGAGCAAGAGGAGCUGGGGGCUGAUCUGGGACGGGACCGAUGCCUAGAGAGAGCUUUGGGCCCUGCCUGACACAUGCCCAGGGAACCCGGGACUGAGAGGAUGUGCCUGAACCAGGUGUGUGCCCAAGUUUUUGCCAGAAUUACCAGGUGCGCCCUCCUUGGUGGGCCAGGUGUGCUUGGUGUGAGCAUGCAAGUGUGUUGUGCACCUGGCAUGUCCGUGUGCAUGCCCAGCUCUAGCUACACACUUGGAUUGCUCUGAACCAUUUUCCCCAUCCUCAUCUUUUUUCUGUUAAUUAUAAAAUUAUAUGUGCUUCUUAUAAAAAGUUCAAAUGUAAAGUCUCUCCUCUUCUCUAAUUCUAAUCCAAAUGAUCCUAGACUUAAUUUCUUUGAACAAUUUGGCAUUUAUCCUUCUUUCUAAGCACAUUCAAAUAUAUAGUUAUUUAGAAAGCCACAUCCAAAUGCAGUAGUUUUAGGUUUAAUUAUUUUUAACAAAAUAGUAUCAGAAUCUACAGAUUGUUUUUCACCUUUUUUUUUCACUUCGAUUCCUUGGUCGUCUUCCCUGUCACUGUGUAUGGAUUUACUUCACUGUUUUUAACAGCUGAAGAAUAUUCCAGUAAAUGGAUGUUCCAUCGUUCAUUUACCUGGGUGGACCCCUCUGUGUCCUGACUCCCCUGUUCUCCCAGAAGCUGAGAGAGUAGGUGUAAGAGGAAGGGGAGGACAAGGAGACUGGCCCUGCCCUGGGAGGCAGCCCAUCCCAGCUGCCCUUUGACCUCCUGCAAGUGGAUUCCCUUACAACCCCCCCACCCCAAGUCCUCAUCUCCCUCCCCUGUCUCCUGUCUCCGGUCCCCUUCCUUCUCCCUCCUGGCCCUUGACCUCUGUGCAGUGCUGCAGGUCUGCGCAGUGCUGCGCAGUACUGGGCGAGUUCCUGGCCUCUGAGAGGGUCUGAUCUCUGAGGACUGGGAGGAAUUUGGCUUGGGGGACCCAGAGUUCAGGAGGUUCUGCACAGCCAGCCUGCAGGACAGGGAGCGUGCCUCUUGUCAACGCUGCCCCUGGAGAGGGCACCAUGCUGAAGGUGAGACUGGCACUGCCCCCUGCCCAGAUGGCAGCUUCCUGCUUCCCAGAGGGCAUGGGUGAUGGGAACUGUGCCAGAUAGGCAUGGUGCCCCCACCCUGCACGAGAGUCAUGGAAAAUCCAGAGCCUUGAUCUUUGCUCUUGAUCACUCCUCCCCAGUUUUUACAACUGGAAACUUGCGGCCUCUUUGUUCAGGUCAGCUUGAGAGGGAGGUAUUGGGCGGGGAGGUGGUUGAGUCAGCAGCGGGGGAUACAGAACUUGGUGCUUCUGAGGACCAGCCACGACCCUUCUGUCACUCACAUUCCAGUUUACCUGUAAACAGAUGGCACUUCUGGGCACUUCUGUGCUGGGAGCAGAGGGGGCAGGGAUGGGCACAGCUUCUGUGUCCUUGCUGGGGGAGUGGUCUCCUCUCAUCCAGCAUCGGACCCCCAGCUGUACAGAGCCAUGAUCCCCUCUGCUCCAAACACUGCUAAUUCCUCCGACGUCCUGGUGGCACGUGGUUCCCGGCCCUCCUCAUUCCUCAGGGCAGGUCCAGUGUGUCUGUUUGCCAUGAGAUCCUAUUAGAAGUUUAUGGUAAGGAAACCACUUUACGAGGUUGCUUUCUUCCUCCUGCGCCUUGCUCGGCUCCUGCUGCCCUCUCCCCCCACUUCUCCCUCAUAGCCAGAGUUCAUGGAAACUUCUCAGGUCACUGAUUCUCACCUUCCUUUCCUCCUCAGGAGAGAGGGCCCAACCCCCUUCUCUGGGGCCUGCCAGCUUCUUUCCCCCAAGCCCUGCUCUUCUUGGGGGGAUGGCAUGCCCUCGGGGCUGGGGGGCUGAACCUAGAGCAGAGCGGUGCCCUCGGCCUUACCCUAUCUUCCAGCAUUGUCUGCUGGAUGAGCACAUGUGUCUCUUGCUUCCUGUGAUCUUAGAGGGGACCCUGGGGAGGGGGAGGUGAAGCAGAGAGUUGUGGCAGCCUUCACCCUGAGGUGAGGGGGGACAGGGGUGCUGAAGCAGAAAGGGAGGUGGCCCAGAUCCUCACUCGGCAGCUUCUGCCCUCAAAACCGACCCAUCACUCAAUCAGUUCACUGAUGCUGUUAGAUCAGCACCCCCUCUGAGGAACCUGUAAUCCAGCGGUGUGUAUAGGUGUGGUGGGGGGACAUGUGGCACAAGCUUGUGGACCUCCGAAGAGGGAGAUCUGAGAGAGGCUGGAGCAGUCAAGGAGGGCACGAAAGUGGGCUAUGACUUCCAGCUGGUGUGGUCACCGAGGGGUGGUAAGUGGGGUUGAGGGAGGUGGUGCUGCUUAUCUGGAACCCUCUGCUUAGGCCUUCCCUGCCUGGCUGGGGCUUGGUGGGGCUCUGCUCUGUCUGUCUGGGUGGUACGCUCACCUGGAGUCCAGAGCAGGCAGUGCAGGGCAGGGGCAACCGAGCUCCACAGGCCUGGGCUCUGAGUGCAUGGCCUUAACUUGAUGUUCUGUCUACGGGGAACCUAGGCUCCAGGCCUGGCCGGAGCAAGACUGAGAAGAGCACUACUCACCCCUGCAGGCCAGGGAGGGGCACUGGGGGCUGAGGGACCACAGGCCGGGCCUCUCCACCCCCCACAUCCGAUCCACCUGGCUGCCCAAGCGGGACAGAUUAUUUUUGCUCCUUCAGACUCUGCCGGUGCCUUUGCCCCCUUUCCAGGAGUUACUCAGUUACCAGUGUUGGUUUUCUAUUUCCAGAACAAGGCAGGGCCUCUCCUCCCAGCUUCCUCCACCCUGGGCCUCGACAUUUCCCCUCCAUCCAGCCUGGGGAGGAGCCCUGUGCCUGUGUCCAGGCCCAAGGGCAGGGACUCCCUCCUCUCUGAUGGGGAAGGCAGGGGAGUGAGGGAGGGUUCACCCCCCUCCCUCCUUUGUACCCCCCUCUCCUGCUUCCUCCCAGACCAUUCCCAUCGGCCAACGUGCUCUCUCUCUCUCUCUCCCAAGACCCUGGCCCCUCCAGCCACAGUCCCACUGCUCAACUCCUUUUGCAGCCACUCUCCUCACAAGAAUGGUGGACACUUGCUGCCUCUGCUCCCUCUCCAGCCUAGCUUCUGCCCCACCACCCACUCCGCCGCCCCUGUUCAUUCUAGAUUCACCAAACCCGAGGAGUGCUUCUCGCCUCCCUCC
Equus caballus (horse) is the source of this 6825-nucleotide non-coding RNA. The record is from RefSeq and is a predicted model, not a curated record. Lineage: Eukaryota; Metazoa; Chordata; Mammalia; Perissodactyla; Equidae.